CGAGGAGCUUGCUCCUCUGACGUUAGCGGCGGACGGGUGAGUAACACGUGGAUAACCUACCUAUAAGACUGGGAUAACUUCGGGAAACCGGAGCUAAUACCGGAUAAUAUAUUGAACCGCAUGGUUCAAUAGUGAAAGACGGUUUUGCUGUCACUUAUAGAUGGAUCCGCGCCGCAUUAGCUAGUUGGUAAGGUAACGGCUUACCAAGGCAACGAUGCGUAGCCGACCUGAGAGGGUGAUCGGCCACACUGGAACUGAGACACGGUCCAGACUCCUACGGGAGGCAGCAGUAGGGAAUCUUCCGCAAUGGGCGAAAGCCUGACGGAGCAACGCCGCGUGAGUGAUGAAGGUCUUCGGAUCGUAAAACUCUGUUAUUAGGGAAGAACAAAUGUGUAAGUAACUAUGCACGUCUUGACGGUACCUAAUCAGAAAGCCACGGCUAACUACGUGCCAGCAGCCGCGGUAAUACGUAGGUGGCAAGCGUUAUCCGGAAUUAUUGGGCGUAAAGCGCGCGUAGGCGGUUUUUUAAGUCUGAUGUGAAAGCCCACGGCUCAACCGUGGAGGGUCAUUGGAAACUGAAAAACUUGAGUGCAGAAGAGGAAAGUGGAAUUCCAUGUG
This 618-nucleotide ribosomal RNA is filed under the name Staphylococcus epidermidis. RNAcentral's name for it is "bacterial SSU rRNA". It matches the Rfam family "Bacterial small subunit ribosomal RNA", at positions 72 to 675 of the family's 1533-position model. The record is from RNAcentral. Lineage: Bacteria; Bacillati; Bacillota; Bacilli; Caryophanales; Staphylococcaceae.